RNAcentral lists this ribosomal RNA (497 nucleotides) under uncultured bacterium. RNAcentral describes it as "partial 16S ribosomal RNA". It matches the Rfam family "Bacterial small subunit ribosomal RNA", at positions 28 to 507 of the family's 1533-position model. The record is from RNAcentral.
GAUGAACGCUGGCGGCGUGCCUAAUACAUGCAAGUCGAGCGAACGGACGAGAAGCUUGCUUCUCUGAUGUUAGCGGCGGACGGGCGAGUAACACGUGGAUAACCUACCUCUAAGACUGGGAUAACUUCGGGAAACCGGAGCUAAUACCGGAUAAUAUUUUGAACCGCAUGGUUCAAAAGUGAAAGACGGUCUUGCUGUCACUUAUAGAUGGAUCCGCGCUGCAUUAGCUAGUUGGUAAGGUAACGGCUUACCAAGGCAACGAUGCAUAGCCGACCUGAGAGGGUGAUCGGCCACACUGGAACUGAGACACGGUCCAGACUCCUACGGGAGGCAGCAGUAGGGAAUCUUCCGCAAUGGGCGAAAGCCUGACGGAGCAACGCCGCGUGAGUGAUGAAGGUCUUCGGAUCGUAAAACUCUGUUAUUAGGGAAGAACAUAUGUGUAAGUAACUGUGCACAUCUUGACGGUACCUAAUCAGAAAGCCACGGCUAACUACGUG